UACGUAGGGUGCAAGCGUUAAUCGGAAUUACGUGGCGUAAAGCGUGCGCAGGCGGUUCUAUAAGACAGAUGUGAAAUCCCCGGGCUCAACCUGGGAACUGCAUUGUGACUGCAUCGCUGGAGUGCGGCAGAGGGGGGGAUGGAAUUCCGCGUGUAGCAGUGAAAUGCGUAGAUAUGCGGAGGAACACCGAUGGCGAAGGCAAUCCCCUGGGCCUGCACUGACGCUCAUGCACGAAAGCGUGGGGAGCAAACAGG
RNAcentral lists this ribosomal RNA (254 nucleotides) under uncultured bacterium. RNAcentral's name for it is "partial 16S ribosomal RNA". It matches the Rfam family "Bacterial small subunit ribosomal RNA", at positions 524 to 776 of the family's 1533-position model. The record is from RNAcentral.